Molecule: ribosomal RNA, 460 nt
Filed under: uncultured bacterium
Lineage: Bacteria
Description: partial 16S ribosomal RNA
Rfam family: Bacterial small subunit ribosomal RNA
Source: RNAcentral
CCUACGGGAGGCAGCAGUGAUGAAUAUUGGUCAAUGGACGAGAGUCUGCACCAGCCAAGUAGCGUGAAGGAUGACUGCCCUAUGGGUUAUAAACUUCUUUUAUAUGUGAAUAAAAUGUUCCACGUGUGUGAUUUUGUAUGUACCAUAUGAAUAAGGAUUGGCUAACUCCGUGCCAGCAGCCGCGUUAAUACGGAGGAUCCGAGUGUUCUCCGGAUUAAUUGGGUUUACAGGGAGCGUAGGUGGAUUGUUAAGUCAGUUGUGAAAGUUUGCGGGUCAACCGUAAAAUUGCAGUUGAAACUGGCAGUCUUGAGUACAGUAGAGGUGGGCGGAAUUCGUGGUGUAGCGGUGAAAUGCUGAGAUAUCACGAAGAACUCCGAUUGCGAAGGCAGCUCACUGGACUGCAACUGACACUGAGGCUCGAAAGUGUGGGUAUCAAACAGGAUUAGAUACCCUUGUAGUC